GGGCCUAUGGCGCAAUGGUUAGCGCAGGGGACUCAUAAUCCCUUGGUUCCAGGUUCGAGUCCUGGUGGGCCCA
RNAcentral lists this transfer RNA (73 nucleotides) under Thiothrix nivea DSM 5205. It matches the Rfam family "tRNA". From Rfam's summary of the family: Transfer RNA (tRNA) molecules are approximately 80 nucleotides in length. Their secondary structure includes four short double-helical elements and three loops (D, anti-codon, and T loops). Lineage: Bacteria; Pseudomonadati; Pseudomonadota; Gammaproteobacteria; Thiotrichales; Thiotrichaceae. The record is from Rfam by way of RNAcentral.